GACUCAGUCAGAAACUUCUCUGUGCUGUCCCCAUCAAGACAGGGCAGACCUUGGGGCCUUGGAACUUCCUGUUGCACUGCUGGGAACUCAGGUGGUCACUUGGCUUCCUCCUGGGCAAGGACAUUCCCCCAAGGACACAGUCACUAUCUGGUCCGAAUCAACUAGACCUCUUGCCUUCUGUGGACUCUGCAGCCCCUUAUCUUGUUUAUUUUUGAGGCCACUUCUCACUCUGACCUUGAACUUUCCUCUCUGCUACACCUUCCAGGAGCAUCCUGUCUCAUCUGGGUCAAAACACACACACCCCAUCUUGGCUGGAUUUUUCUGCUAACACUUUUCUUCCCUUAUUUUUACUGUUAUUAUUUUUACUUUUGAGACAGGGACUCACUAUGCAGCCUUGGCUGUCCUCAAACUCAUAGUACCCGCCCACCUCUGCUUCUCAAAUGCGGCCG
RNAcentral lists this long non-coding RNA (449 nucleotides) under Rattus norvegicus (Norway rat). RNAcentral's name for it is "long non-coding RNA NONRATT016332". The record is from RNAcentral. Lineage: Eukaryota; Metazoa; Chordata; Mammalia; Rodentia; Muridae.